GACAGCCAGGAUGUUGGCUUAGAAGCAGCCAUCAUUUAAAGAAAGCGUAAUAGCUCACUGGUCGAGUCGGCCUGCGCGGAAGAUGUAACGGGGCUAAACCAUGCACCGAAGCUGCGGCAGCGACGCUGAUGCGUUGUUGGGUAGGGGAGCGUUCUGUAAGCCUGCGAAGGUGUGCUGUGAGGCAUGCUGGAGGUAUCAGAAGUGCGAAUGCUGACAUAAGUAACGAUAAAGCGGGUGAAAAGCCCGCUCGCCGGAAGACCAAGGGUUCCUGUCCAACGUUAAUCGGGGCAGGGUGAGUCGACCCCUAAGGCGA
This 313-nucleotide ribosomal RNA is filed under the name Escherichia coli. RNAcentral describes it as "partial 23S ribosomal RNA". It matches the Rfam family "Bacterial large subunit ribosomal RNA", at positions 1088 to 1399 of the family's 2925-position model. Lineage: Bacteria; Pseudomonadati; Pseudomonadota; Gammaproteobacteria; Enterobacterales; Enterobacteriaceae. The record is from RNAcentral.